GCAGAAUCUUAACGGUUCCCAGAUUAUGGGAGAAUGUGACUCCACUUCCUCAUGCCUGCACUGUCCAUCGCAGGUCUGUCUCUGUCCGUAGCCAAUGGGAGUGAGGAGGUGGAGAAUGUGCGGUCCAAGCGAGAUAGUAAGAGUGUGUCUGUAUGUUUGCCAUCUGACCGCACCAGUGACCGCCGCUCAAAAGGGGUCAUCAGCCUGAUCUUUAAAUCCCGGCUGGGCUCCAAGGGUGAAGAGGGGAAACCAUCAGACUCUUCUGAAGAUGCCACACAUUUCUAACUUCUGUUCCAAAAAGACAAGUUAGGCCUGCUCGUGUACCUUCACUGUAGCAGCGUUAAGAGAGUUCCAAACAACCGAUACCAUAAAGGAAGUAGCAGGACCACGUCAGUGUCCUGGUUGACACUUUAUUAUGGGUGUAUGACGAUGUAAUGCUUGAUGCAUAAUCGUUAUGAAAUGAUGAGAUAAUUAUUUAAUGAUAGUCUGUAACACAGUUAAGCGCAGAAUCAUGAUAGCAGUUAUUAGCUGCUCAAACCGUGAUUCUAAUAAAAAAUAUUGCACAGCAAUGUAUUCGUCAUUAAAAUCAGAAUUUAGGUGCUCUUGUAUGUUUGAAAUGGGGGUAAUAGU
Electrophorus electricus (electric eel) is the source of this 630-nucleotide long non-coding RNA. The record is from Ensembl. NCBI's taxonomy places the organism in Eukaryota, Metazoa, Chordata, Actinopteri, Gymnotiformes, Gymnotidae.